GACUGUCCGUGGACACUGGUUUUUAAGCCCAAGAACUGAAUAUACAGUAGCAGUGCAGACUGCCUCAAAACAAGUUGAUGGUGAUUAUGUUGUGUCUGAAUGGAGCGAAAUUAUAGAAUUCUGCACCGCAGACUAUUCAAAAGUUCAUCUAACACAAUUGUUGGAGAAGGCUGAAGUGAUUGCAGGACGCAUGCUUAAGUUUUCUGUUUUUUAUCGUAAUCAGCACAAAGAAUAUUUUGACUAUGUUCGGUAAGAUUCAAAAAUAUAUAGUGAUUUGUUUUACUAAAUAUAGUUUCAAAUUCUAGGCUCAGG
Molecule: small RNA, 312 nt
Filed under: Pan troglodytes (chimpanzee)
Lineage: Eukaryota; Metazoa; Chordata; Mammalia; Primates; Hominidae
Description: processed transcript
Source: RNAcentral